This 276-nucleotide ribosomal RNA is filed under the name uncultured bacterium. RNAcentral describes it as "partial 16S ribosomal RNA". It matches the Rfam family "Bacterial small subunit ribosomal RNA", at positions 82 to 354 of the family's 1533-position model. The record is from RNAcentral.
CCGUUGCCGGCGACCGGCGCACGGGUGAGUAACACGUAUGCAACCUGCCCGUGGCAGGGGGAUAAGCGGGGGAAACCCCGUCUAAUACCGCGUAACGCGGCCUAGGGACAUCCCAAGGCCGCCAAAGGGAGCAAUCCCGGCCACGGAUGGGCAUGCGGCGCAUUAGCUAGUCGGCGGGGUAACGGCCCACCAAGGCGACGAUGCGUAGGGGUUCUGAGAGGAAGGUCCCCCACACUGGUACUGAGACACGGACCAGACUCCUACGGGAGGCAGCAG